RNAcentral lists this long non-coding RNA (3253 nucleotides) under Nicotiana benthamiana. RNAcentral describes it as "long non-coding RNA (NBEN_LNC033703)". Lineage: Eukaryota; Viridiplantae; Streptophyta; Magnoliopsida; Solanales; Solanaceae. The record is from RNAcentral.
AAAUCUUCUACCUAAUUUUAUUUUGUUCUUAUUAAUUUCAGACUUUGUUUCCCAUUUCCGGACUUGUAGUUCUUUAGCAAAUUCUGUAGUAGCUCAUGACUAGUGACAAUCCGAUGUAGGGCUGUGACGGGAUGGUUCCUACUUGUUAUUAUUGUUUUCUGCACUUAUGAUUAUGCUUAUCAUGUUUUGGCUUUAUAAAUAUUAAAUAACUGUUAAAAGGAAUCGUUUGUGUUGUUGGCUGGCCUUGUCUUCACGAGAGGCGCCACCACGACUGGAUUUGGGAUUUGGGUCGUGACACUUUACUUAAGUAUAAUUAGUGUAGUAAUUACCCGGACAUUAGAUUCAAUUCUGCUAGUUUGUUAGAGUUUGGGCUUAGUUGAUUCUUAAUUGUUUAAUGGAAAAUUGAUUCUUAUUUUUUCCAGUCCUUUGAUUAGUUAACUUGUCUAGUUUGGUCUAGGUGUUGUUGGAUUAACCUUGGUUGAGUAAAUUGUUUGGUUAUAGCUCAUAGGUUAAUUCAACUAAGGUGGCAAUUUCAAGGGGUUCGGGGGUAUUUUAGGCUUUAGUAAUAGGGUGCAAUGCUGUAGAAAUAGUUAGAAGUUCCAAAAUCUUUGUAGAACAGGGUACAGGUCAAGAUUUUGAUAAAGUUAAGGCACUUACUUGAGUAACAAGGUAGGAAAUAAGGGACAUAUAAGCAAAAAUGAAAAUUAAAAAAGGACUAAGUUUGAAAAUAGAAAAUAAGGGUUGCCAUCAUUUGUGCCUUUCAUUCACAAGUUUUGGAGCCUCAAAUUCCCCCAAAAAAUCAGUCUUCAGAUUUCCUGCUGAAUUUUGAAUUUCAGAUUCAAUUCUAGAUCUAGUUCCUAAAAAAACCAAAACAAACAAAAAUCUUCAGAAAAGAUCAAAAUAUUGUUCCAUUAGAAAGUUUAAGGAAUUUUGAUUUUUAGUUAGUCGAUUCACUCCUUUUAGUUCAAAAUCUGAUGGUUGAAUAUUCAGAGAUUCACUAAACGGAUUUCAAGUUAUUUUUUGUCUAAUUGAGUGAAUUUCAAUCGAGUUAUGGCCUGCUGAAUAUUUCAAGGGUGUUCUGGUGCAUUUACUGGGUUCAUUUUCAAAUUUGCUAAGUUUAUUUUGGUAUUGUUCAUGCUUGGACGGAAACUGGCAACAUUGUUUGGUCUGUGACUUCUAUUCGAAGAUGCUAUUGAUUCCCUGGUUAUAACUGCUGACCUUCUCUUCUUCUUCUGAUAUUUCUAAUCUCGAGGCACACGUUUCAGCCUGUUUUGAUGUAAUCUCUCCCAUGAACUGGAAAUGCAAUGGAAGUUUGAUAUUCUCUAAAGCUUCCCUAUUUUAUUAGUUCAUUACUUCUUUAGUUGAUGCAUUGCUUUAGCCUAGCUGUAUUGGACUAAUAGAAUCACCAAUUUGUAAUAAUCUGUGGGACUGCUAAAUUGGAGAUUGUCCAUUGGCCUUACGGUGGUUUAGUUUUGUUUUUGUGAGAUUCAAACUAAUUAGGAGAAAGUUUGAACAGAAAAUUGUUUUUGGGAGACUUCUGACCUAUAUUCAAAGUUAAUAAAUUGGAAUUUGGUUUAUUGUGGUUAAUCAACAAAAAAAACGUUGCACUAUUAACAUAUGCCAAUUUAGUAGCCAGUUGCUGAUUAGAAUCAAAUUACAUGCUCAUGUAUAGCAUUCUGAUUCAAUUAUGUAUUGCUAAUGGUAUAUCAUCGAAUUGUCUAUUCAUAGCAAAUGGGAUGCAAUGUUUAGUUCAAAGUUGUUUACUUAUUUGCAAAUCAUUAAAACCCGUGUGUGCAUUAAAAUAAGUGAUUGGCAAUAAGCAGAAUCAACCGCCAGGGUUUAUCUAUUUAUGCUAGAUGGGUUCGAUGUAGGUCAAAUCCUCCCAACAGACUGGUUAACGUCGGGCCCAACUAAUUCCCUUUCUAUGGAGAUGGCGUGUUGGUUGCUUUUGAUAACAAGCUGACUCAUUAGUCCAUUAACAUGGACUUAUCUUGAAGGCUUCAAUCCAUAGUUUAACGCAGUCUAAGUUUGAGCCUUCAAGUUAGGUAGCGGGUUCAAAAUAUAAAAAGAUUAUAGUUCUCUUUAGGUUUGCCUUUAAUUAAUAAUCAGACGAGCCUCACCGAAUAAAGGAUACAAAAUUGCGGUGCCCUCAAUAAAUAGUUAUUAAAAUACAUAGAAAUUCAGGAUGGACCGUUUAGCGAAUUACGCGAAUCUCCCAAAAGAUAACAACGUGUUAGCCACUUUAGGCGCGAUUUAAAUAAAAUUAAAUUCUUAAACUCUGGUGUGCAUUUCAUGUGACCCAAAUAAAAUCCCAAAACGUUGAAAAAAAUGUAUUCAGGAUUGCGAGUGUAUUUUAUGUGACGCGAUCCGAAGGCACUCUUUAAACGACGUUCAACUUUCUUUCUUUUUUAAAUUACUUAUGAAAUAAAAGCGGAAAAAAAUAAAAUUGGCACUUAGGUUCUUCAUGUAAUCAGAUACAUAAUAGUAGUGCAGUGAUGGCCUCGAUCACCUGUCAACGGCCUUGCUGAAGCUUUUAACAAGACACUUGGCAACCUUUUGAAGAAAGUUGUUGCAAAGAAAAAGAGAGACUAGAAUGAGAGAAUUGGUGAAGCUUUGUGGGCAUACCGGACAAGCUUCAGAAUUGCUAGGCAAGCAACUCCUUACUCUUUGGUGUAUGGUGUAGAAGCAGUCCUACCGUUGGAAUAACAAAUUCUAUCAUUGCGGACAGCAAUCCAAGAAGGACUCAUGGCCGAUGAGAAUGCUCAACUUCACCUAGCAGAGUUAGAGGCAGUGGAUGAGAAAAGAUUGGAAGCGCAACAAAAAUUAGAAUGCUAUCAAGCUCGACUAGCUAGAGCCUUUAACAAGAAAGUGCGGCCACGAUCAUUCCAAGUGGGAGACUUAGUCCUAGCUGUUUGACGACCCAUAAUACUCAACAAACGCGUAGGCGACAAGUUUACCUCAAAAUGGGGUAGGCCAUAUAUUGUGGAAGAAACCUAUUCAAGUGGCGCAUACAAAAUUGUCGAUUAGGAUGGUCUCAGAGUUGGUCCGAUCAACAAAAAAAUUCUGAAGCAGUACUUCCCAUGAAAGUCACCUACGAUCCUCGACGUACGAGCCUAAACUACAAGUCAUUACACUCCUUUAUACAUGAGCCUAAACUACACGUUUCUACACUCCUAGCCCCCAUGAGUCUAAACUGUGCUAAGUUGAAAACCUUGAAAAAGGCGGCCUAGGCAAAAUUGACCAGUAAAAAAAA